GAUGAACGCUGGCGGCGUGCCUAAUACAUGCAAGUCGAGCGAACGGACGAGAAGCUUGCUUCUCUGAUGUUAGCGGCGGACGGGUGAGUAACACGUGGAUAACCUACCUAUAAGACUGGGAUAACUUCGGGAAACCGGGGCUAAUACCGGAUAAUAUUUUGAACCGCAUGGUUCAAAAGUGAAAGACGGUCUUGCUGUCACUUAUAGAUGGAUCCGCGCUGCAUUAGCUAGUUGGUAAGGUAACGGCUUACCAAGGCAACGAUGCAUAGCCGACCUGAGAGGGUGAUCGGCCACACUGGAACUGAGACACGGUCCAGACUCCUACGGGAGGCAGCAGUAGGGAAUCUUCCGCAAUGGGCGAAAGCCUGACGGAGCAACGCCGCGUGAGUGAUGAAGGUCUUCGGAUCGUAAAACUCUGUUAUUAGGGAAGAACAUAUGUGUAAGUAACUGUGCACAUCUUGACGGUACCUAAUCAGAAAGCCACGGCUAACUACAUG
RNAcentral lists this ribosomal RNA (497 nucleotides) under uncultured bacterium. RNAcentral's name for it is "partial 16S ribosomal RNA". It matches the Rfam family "Bacterial small subunit ribosomal RNA", at positions 28 to 507 of the family's 1533-position model. The record is from RNAcentral.